This 203-nucleotide ribosomal RNA is filed under the name Salmonella enterica. RNAcentral describes it as "partial 23S ribosomal RNA". It matches the Rfam family "Bacterial large subunit ribosomal RNA", at positions 1 to 195 of the family's 2925-position model. Lineage: Bacteria; Pseudomonadati; Pseudomonadota; Gammaproteobacteria; Enterobacterales; Enterobacteriaceae. RNAcentral also lists the same sequence under 2 other names. The record is from RNAcentral.
GGGUUGUGAGGUUAAGCGACUAAGCGUACACGGUGGAUGCCCUGGCAGUCAGAGGCGAUGAAGGACGUGCUAAUCUGCGAUAAGCGCCGGUAAGGUGAUAUGAACCGUUAUAACCGGCGAUUUCCGAAUGGGGAAACCCAGUGUGAUUCGUCACACUAUCAUUAACUGAAUCCAUAGGUUAAUGAGGCGAACCGGGGGAACUG